GGGCGUGUAGCUUAGUUUGGAAAGAGCAUCUGUCUGACUCACGGAUAGAUUCGGGUUCAAAUCCCGACACGCCCG
RNAcentral lists this transfer RNA (75 nucleotides) under Candidatus Woesearchaeota archaeon. Its description in RNAcentral is "tRNA-Val". It matches the Rfam family "tRNA". From Rfam's summary of the family: Transfer RNA (tRNA) molecules are approximately 80 nucleotides in length. Their secondary structure includes four short double-helical elements and three loops (D, anti-codon, and T loops). Lineage: Archaea; Nanobdellati; Candidatus Woesearchaeota. The record is from RNAcentral.